GACGAACGCUGGCGGCGUGCUUAACACAUGCAAGUCGUACGGUAAGGCCCUUUCGGGGGUACACGGGUGGCGAACGGGCGAGUAACACGUGAGUAACCUGCCCACAACUUUGGGAUAACGCUAGGAAACUGGUGCUAAUACUGGAUAUGUGCCCCUGCUGCAUGGUGGGGGUUGGAAAGCUCCGGUGGUUGUGGAUGGACUCGCGGCCUAUCAGCUUGCUGGUGGGGUAGUGGCCUACCAAGGCGGCGACGGGUAGCCGGCCUGAGAGGGUGACCGGCCACAUUGGGACUGGGAUACGGCCCAGACUCCUACGGGAGGCAGCAAUGGGGAAUAUUGCACAAUGGGCGCAAGCCUGAUGCAGCAACGCCGCGUGCGGGAUGACGGCCUUCGGGUUGUAAACCGCUUUCAGCAGGGACGAAGCUUUUUGUGACGGUACCUGCAGAAGAAGCACCGGCUAACUACGUG
Molecule: ribosomal RNA, 465 nt
Filed under: uncultured bacterium
Lineage: Bacteria
Description: partial 16S ribosomal RNA
Rfam family: Bacterial small subunit ribosomal RNA
Source: RNAcentral